UUUUUUUUCAUAUUGAGGAAAGUUCUCCCAAGUUGAUAGUAAAUGACUAUUUCCACAAUCAGCCUCUUCCUCCAAUCCCAUGCUUUAAACUUCAUCUCAAAAUCUCCACAAAUUUGGGAGGUAGAAUUAGAAAUGGUACUCAGUCCUUUGUGUAUAUCAAUAGUACUUUUUAAAAAGAAAACACAUCAAUAUAAAUUGAAUUGUUAGGUAUAAAAAAGAAAGUUCUGCAAAUGGAAGGGGGAAAAAGCAGCUAAAUGUAUGCUUAAAGAGAUUUGUUGUGUCAGUACAUCUUUACUUUUUGAUUGGUAAACUUUUACAAAGAGACAUGGUUCUCCCAAUCCAAGCAAAGUUAAGUGUGACUUAAGUAGUAGAUUAGAGGGGAGAAAACUAACUUUCACGGAGUAUCUCAUAUGUGCCAGGCACCAUUCUUGGCAUUUUUUGGUAUGAAUUUCCCCAUUUAACUCCCAUUGUGAACCUAUGGAACUGAUGUUAUUCUCAUUUUUCAGAUGAGGAAACUGAGACUCAACAAGGUUAAAAAAAACUUCUCAGGGUUGUUUGGCAAGUGGGAGAACUAGGCUUGAAGAUAGAUUUGUCUUAGUUCAACACCCAUGCAUACACUUCAGAUUAAGUUAAUCGGACUUGGCAUUGCUCAAAAAGAUUGCAUUUAGCUAUUUGAUCCUCUAACUUGUCAAGACCAGGAAAUGCCUUUUCUUUCAAGGUAGGACACCUUUAGCAGCACGAACCAUCUUUAUUUGGCAUUUUUUACAAAUUGUAAGCUGGAGAUAUUUGAACUUGGAAAUGGAACUGAAAUGUCCUUGAGGCACUAGAGCAGUGACUCAAAAAGAUUCCUGUACAAAGGUGGAACAAGACUAAAAUUAUUCCCACUCUACUCGCUUUGUCUUUGUCCAUCCUUUUGAUGAAGAGAGGAGUUCCAAAACAUAAUGCAUCAAAGUUACAUUGUGAGAGAUGAACUACAUUUGCAAAAAG
Suricata suricatta (meerkat) is the source of this 987-nucleotide long non-coding RNA. RefSeq lists it as uncharacterized. The record is from RefSeq and is a predicted model, not a curated record. Lineage: Eukaryota; Metazoa; Chordata; Mammalia; Carnivora; Herpestidae. The transcript is spliced from 2 exons.